AAUACUAAGCCGGACUAUAACGGAUAACAUUGAUGUUGUUAAUUAUGAUAAUACAUCUAGUAUUU
This 65-nucleotide transfer RNA is filed under the name Haemadipsa tianmushana. RNAcentral describes it as "tRNA-Ile". The record is from RNAcentral. Lineage: Eukaryota; Metazoa; Annelida; Clitellata; Hirudinida; Haemadipsidae.